UACAGAGGGUGCAAACGUUGCUCGGAAUCACUGGGCGUAAAGGGCGUGUAGGCGGGAAGGAUAGUCAGAUGUGAAAGCCCUGGGCUCAACCCAGGAACUGCAUUUGAAACUCCCUUUCUUGAGUGUCGGAGAGGAAAGCGGAAUUCCUGGUGUAGAGGUGAAAUUCGUAGAUAUCAGGAGGAACACCGGUGGCGAAGGCGGCUUUCUGGACGACAACUGACGCUGAGACGCGAAAGCGUGGGGAGCAAACAGG
Molecule: ribosomal RNA, 253 nt
Filed under: uncultured bacterium
Lineage: Bacteria
Description: partial 16S ribosomal RNA
Rfam family: Bacterial small subunit ribosomal RNA
Source: RNAcentral